GAAAAUGCAUGGAACGGAAAGAGUAUGCAGAUAGACGGCGCCAGAGAGGGAAUGCCAUUGGCUGAGAACAGUCCCCGCAGGUCUGUGCAGAAAGUGCAUCCGGGAGCAGAUUCUGCGAAGCCGACGGCAUGAGCAGAGUACGAAUUGCGCACGUUACGCGCCUGAGGGCAGGAUUUGGAAUCCUGAAACAGAGUGGAACCGCGGAAUUUUUCGUCUCUAGG
RNAcentral lists this non-coding RNA (221 nucleotides) under Bacillota bacterium. RNAcentral describes it as "Firmicutes bacterium T-box sequence". It matches the Rfam family "T-box leader". Rfam says of the family: Uncharged tRNA acts as the effector for transcription antitermination of genes in the T-box leader family. T-boxes are found upstream of many aminoacyl-tRNA synthetase genes and some amino acid biosynthetic genes usually in Gram-positive bacteria. The record is from RNAcentral. Lineage: Bacteria; Bacillati; Bacillota.